AUUCUGAUAGCUUACAUUUUUAGAGCAUAGCACUGAAGAUGCUAAGGAGGCAAUCAUGCCUCAGAAUA
Molecule: transfer RNA, 68 nt
Filed under: Provanna sp. JWQ-2014
Lineage: Eukaryota; Metazoa; Mollusca; Gastropoda; Provannidae
Description: tRNA-Phe
Source: RNAcentral